AUUAAAGUUGUUGCAGUUAAAAAGCUCGUAGUUGGAUUUCGAGGCUCCUUAUGUAAUAGUCAUGCGGUGGACACUUGCUUGUUGCUUUAGGGGGGUGUUUUUUCUGGGGCAACCCGAGGACACCACCCGGCGGCAGGGGAAAGGCCACUGCGGGCGGGGCCCAUUUAUAUUUCUCGAAGACGUCACGGGCCCUUAACUGGUGUACUGUGGUCGCGGAUUCGAGACGUUUACUUUGAAAAAAUUAGAGUGUUCAAAGCAGGCAAUCAAAAACGCUUGAAUACAUUAGCAUGGAAUAAUGGAAUAGGACUUUGGUCUUAUUUUGUUGGUUUCUAGGACUGAAGUAAUGAUUAAUAGGGACAGUUGGGGGCAUUCGUAUUUAAUUGUCAGAGGUGAAAUUCUUGGAUUUAUGAAAGACGAACUUCUGCGAAAGCAUUUGCCAAGGAUGUUUUCAUUAAUCAAGAACGAAAGUUAGGGGAUCGAAGACGAUUAGAUACCGUCGUAGUCCUAACCAUAAACUAUGCCGACUAGGGAUCAGUGGGGAACAAAUCAAAAAACUCCAUUGGCACCUUAUGAGAAAUCAAGGUUUUUGGGUUCUGGGGAAAGUACCAACGCAAGUUGGAAACUUAAAGGAAUUGACGGAAGGGCACACCAGGCGUGGAAUCUGCGGCUUAAUUUGACCCAACACGGGGAAACUCACCAGGUCCAGACAAAAUAAGGAUUGACAGAUUGAGAGCUCUUUCUUGAUUUUUUGGGCAGUGGUGCAUGGCCGUUCUUAGUUGGUGGAGCGAUCUGUCUGGUUAAUUCCGAUAACGAACGAGACCUUAACCUGCUAAAUAGCGACGUCAUUCCUUGUGAAGGACGGAUUUUGACUUCUUAGAGGGACUAUCGGUGACUAACCGAUGGAAGUUUGAGGCAAUAACAGGUCUGUGAUGCCCUUAGAUGUUCUGGGCCGCACGCGCGUUACACUGACAGAGGCAGCGAGUUUUUUUAAAUAUCCUGGCCUGGAAAGGUUUGGGUAAUCUUGUGAAUCUCUGUCGUGAUGGGGAUAGAUCUUUGUAAUUAUCGAUCUUCAACGAGGAAUGCCUUGUAAUCGCGGUUCAUCAAAUCGCGUUGACUACGUCCCUGCCCUUUGUACACACCGCCCGUCGCUACUACCGAUUGAAUGGUUUAGUGAGGUCUCGGGACUGGCGCGGCUUGGCUGUAAAAGGCCGAUCCAUGCUGGGAACUUGCCCAAACUUGAUCAUUUAGAGGAAGUAAAAGUC
RNAcentral lists this ribosomal RNA (1262 nucleotides) under metagenome. RNAcentral's name for it is "SSU rRNA". It matches the Rfam family "Eukaryotic small subunit ribosomal RNA", at positions 603 to 1790 of the family's 1831-position model. The record is from RNAcentral.